This 433-nucleotide ribosomal RNA is filed under the name uncultured bacterium. RNAcentral describes it as "partial 16S ribosomal RNA". It matches the Rfam family "Bacterial small subunit ribosomal RNA", at positions 29 to 507 of the family's 1533-position model. The record is from RNAcentral.
AACGAACGCUGGCGGCAUGCCUAACACAUUCAAGUCGAACGAGACCUUCGGGUCUAGUGGCGCACGGGUGCGUAACGCGUGGGAACCUGCCCUUAGGUUCGGAAUAACUCCCCGAAAGGGGUGCUAAUACCGGAUAAUGUCUUCGGACCAAAGAUUUAUCGCCUUUGGAUGGGCCCGCGUUGGAUUAGCUAGUUGGUAGGGUAAAAGCCUACCAAGGCGACGAUCCAUAGCUGGUCUGAGAGGAUGAUCAGCCACACUGGGACUGAGACACGGCCCAGACUCCUACGGGAGGCAGCAGUGGGGAAUAUUGGACAAUGGGCGAAAGCCUGAUUCAGCAAUGCCGCGUGAGUGAUGAAGGCCUUAGGGUUGUAAAGCUCUUUUACCCGGGAUGAUAAUGACAGUACCGGGAGAAUAAGCGCCGGCUAACUCCGUG